RNAcentral lists this ribosomal RNA (440 nucleotides) under uncultured bacterium. RNAcentral describes it as "partial 16S ribosomal RNA". It matches the Rfam family "Bacterial small subunit ribosomal RNA", at positions 338 to 795 of the family's 1533-position model. The record is from RNAcentral.
CCUACGUGUGGCUGCAGUAGGGAAUUUUGCGCAAUGGGCGAAAGCCUGACGCAGCAACGCCGCGUGAUCGAGACGCCCUUCGGGGUGUAAAGAUCUGUCAGUGGGGGCGAAACUUGACGGUACCCACCGAGUAAGCACCGGCUAACUCCGUGCCAGCAGCCGCGGUAAUACGGGGGGUGCAAGCGUUGUCCGGAUUCAUUGGGCGUAAAGCGUGCGUAGGCGGCACGUAAUGUCUGGUGUUAAAGGCAGAGGCUCAACUUCUGUACGGCACUGGAUACGUGCCAGCUAGAAUGCGGUAGAGGUAAAGGGAAGUCGUGGUGUAGCGGUGAAAUGCUUAGAGAUCAGGAGGAACAUAGGUGGCGAAGGCGCUUUACUGGGCCGUAAUUGACGCUGAGGAACGAAAGCCAGGGUAGCAAACGGGAUUAGAUACCCGAGUAGUC